Molecule: ribosomal RNA, 419 nt
Filed under: bacterium
Lineage: Bacteria
Description: partial 16S ribosomal RNA
Rfam family: Bacterial small subunit ribosomal RNA
Source: RNAcentral
UGGGGGAUAUUGCACAAUGGGCGAAAGCCUGAUGCAGCGACGCCGCGUGGGGGAUGAAGGCCUUCGGGUUGUAAACUUCUUUUGCUCUGAACAAGGCAUGCUAAUGGGUGUGUUGAGUGUAGGGGUUGAUUAGCGCCGGCUAACUACGUGCCAGCAGCCGCGGUAAUACGUAGGGCGCGAGCGUUGUCCGGAAUUAUUGGGCGUAAAGGGCUUGUAGGUGGCUGGUUGUGUCUGUCGUGAAAGCUCAUGGCUUAACUGUGGGUUUGCGGUGGGUACGGGCUGGCUUGAGUGCAGUAGGGGAGGCUGGAAUUCCUGGUGUAGCGGUGGAAUGCGCAGAUAUCAGGAGGAAUACCGGUGGCGAAGGCGGGUCUCUGGGCUGUUACUGACACUGAGGAGCGAAAGCAUGGGGAGCGAACAGG